RNAcentral lists this ribosomal RNA (269 nucleotides) under uncultured prokaryote. RNAcentral describes it as "partial 16S ribosomal RNA". It matches the Rfam family "Bacterial small subunit ribosomal RNA", at positions 524 to 792 of the family's 1533-position model. The record is from RNAcentral.
UACGUAGGUGGCGAGCGUUGUCCGGAUUUACUGGGCGUAAAGGGAGCGUAGGCGGACUUUUAAGUGAGAUGUGAAAUACCCGGGCUCAACUUGGGUGCUGCAUUUCAAACUGGAAGUCUAGAGUGCAGGAGAGGAGAAUGGAAUUCCUAGUGUAGCGGUGAAAUGCGUAGAGAUUAGGAAGAACACCAGUGGCGAAGGCGAUUCUCUGGACUGUAACUGACACUGAGGCGCGAAGGCGUGGGGAGCGAACGGGAUUAGAUACCCGCGUA